RNAcentral lists this long non-coding RNA (345 nucleotides) under Mytilus galloprovincialis (Mediterranean mussel). The record is from RNAcentral. Lineage: Eukaryota; Metazoa; Mollusca; Bivalvia; Mytilida; Mytilidae.
GUUUUCGUAAAAUUUGUUUUUCUGUACAUCUGUUAUUUGUAUUGCCUUUAUAUCUAUUGUUUGAAUUCUCUGUAUAUCUUUUGUACGAAUUCUACAUGUCCUGUUUGUAACUCUGAUAUCCAUAUGUAUCUCUUUUAUUGUAUCCACUUCUGUUCUGGUCAUAAAUUGACCUCACCGAAUAGGCAUUCUUGCAAGACCUGAAUAUUUGUUAAUACAAGAUGUAUUUUACAUGGAUAUUAAUGUGUGUAUAAUAUAUUGUUUGGUAAGGUUGGCUCAUUACUAUUUGGAUGAAACCUUUGUGUAAAAUUUCAUUUUUGGUUAAAUAAAAGCGCUUUUCAUACACCC